This 1431-nucleotide ribosomal RNA is filed under the name uncultured organism. RNAcentral describes it as "16S ribosomal RNA". It matches the Rfam family "Bacterial small subunit ribosomal RNA". The record is from RNAcentral.
GAUGAACGCUAGCUACAGGCUUAACACAUGCAAGUCGAGGGGCAGCAUCAUCAAAGCUUGCUUUGAUGGAUGGCGACCGGCGCACGGGUGAGUAACACGUAUCCAACCUGCCGACAACACUGGGAUAGCCUUUCGAAAGAAAGAUUAAUACCGGAUGGCAUAGUUUUCCCGCAUGGGAUAAUUAUUAAAGAAUUUCGGUUGUCGAUGGGGAUGCGUUCCAUUAGGCAGUUGGCGGGGUAACGGCCCACCAAACCAACGAUGGAUAGGGGUUCUGAGAGGAAGGUCCCCCACAUUGGAACUGAGACACGGUCCAAACUCCUACGGGAGGCAGCAGUGAGGAAUAUUGGUCAAUGGACGAGAGUCUGAACCAGCCAAGUAGCGUGAAGGAUGACUGCCCUAUGGGUUGUAAACUUCUUUUAUACGGGAAUAAAGUGAGCCACGUGUGGCUUUUUGUAUGUACCGUAUGAAUAAGGAUCGGCUAACUCCGUGCCAGCAGCCGCGGUAAUACGGAGGAUCCGAGCGUUAUCCGGAUUUAUUGGGUUUAAAGGGAGCGUAGGCGGGUUGUUAAGUCAGUUGUGAAAGUUUGCGGCUCAACCGUAAAAUUGCAGUUGAUACUGGCGACCUUGAGUGCAACAGAGGUAGGCGGAAUUCGUGGUGUAGCGGUGAAAUGCUUGGAUAUCACGAAGAACUCCGAUUGCGAAGGCAGCUUACUGGAUUGUAACUGACGCUGAUGCUCGAAAGUGUGGGUAUCAAACAGGAUUAGAUACCCUGGUAGUCCACACAGUAAACGAUGAAUACUCGCUGUUGGCGAUAUACAGUCAGCGGCCAAGCGAAAGCAUUAAGUAUUCCACCUGGGGAGUACGCCGGCAACGGUGAAACUCAAAGGAAUUGACGGGGGCCCGCACAAGCGGAGGAACAUGUGGUUUAAUUCGAUGAUACGCGAGGAACCUUACCCGGGCUUAAAUUGCAACUGACUGAACCGGAAACGGUUCUUUCUUCGGACAGUUGUGAAGGUGCUGCAUGGUUGUCGUCAGCUCGUGCCGUGAGGUGUCGGCUUAAGUGCCAUAACGAGCGCAACCCUUACGGGUAGUUACCAUCAGGUUAUGCUGGGGACUCUACCCGGACUGCCGUCGUAAGAUGUGAGGAAGGUGGGGAUGACGUCAAAUCAGCACGGCCCUUACGUCCGGGGCUACACACGUGUUACAAUGGGGGGUACAGAAGGCAGCUACACGGCGACGUGGUGCUAAUCCCGAAAGCCUCUCUCAGUUCGGAUUGGAGUCUGCAACCCGACUCCAUGAAGCUGGAUUCGCUAGUAAUCGCGCAUCAGCCACGGCGCGGUGAAUACGUUCCCGGGCCUUGUACACACCGCCCGUCAAGCCAUGAAAGCCGGGGGUACCUGAAGUACGUAACCGCGAGGAGCGUCCUAGGGUA